GGAGCUGCCUGCUUCAGGCCUCAGAAUCACUCUUGGAGUUAGAUAUUUAAGAAUCCUUCCUGCCUUGACAGCCAGUCUGUGAAAUGAUGGUGAGGUGGGCACUUCUUCGUGGUGAGUGCAGAUCUGGAUGGAGAUUUGUGAAGGCAAGGAGAUUGAAGACAUGUCCUCAUAAGAGGGAGAAAAUCUGAGCUGGUUCCAGGAAUUCUGGGGAGACAUUGCCAAGGAAUUUUACUGGAAGACUCCAUGCCCUGGCCCAUUCCUUCGGUACAACUUUGAUGUGACUAAAGGGAAAAUCUUCAUUGAGUGGAUGAAAGGAGCAACUACCAACAUCUGCUACAAUGUACUGGAUCGAAAUGUCCAUGAGAAAAAGCUUGGAGAUAAAUUUGCUUUUUACUGGUAAAAA
This 403-nucleotide small RNA is filed under the name Pan troglodytes (chimpanzee). RNAcentral describes it as "processed transcript". The record is from RNAcentral. Lineage: Eukaryota; Metazoa; Chordata; Mammalia; Primates; Hominidae.